UACAGAGGGCUCAAGCGUUGUUCGGAUUUAUUGGGCGUAAAGGGUGCGUAGGCGGCGCGGUAAGUCGGGUGUGAAAUCUUGGAGCUUAACUCCGAAACUGCAUUCGAUACUGCCGUGCUUGAGGACUGGAGAGGAGACUGGAAUUUACGGUGUAGCGGUGAAAUGCGUAGAUAUCGUAAGGAAGACCAGUGGCGAAGGCGGGUCUCUGGACAGUUCCUGACGCUGAGGCACGAAGGCCAGGGGAGCAAACGGG
Molecule: ribosomal RNA, 253 nt
Filed under: uncultured bacterium
Lineage: Bacteria
Description: partial 16S ribosomal RNA
Rfam family: Bacterial small subunit ribosomal RNA
Source: RNAcentral